GACGAACGCUGGCGGCGUGCUUAACACAUGCAAGUCGAACGGAAAGGCCCUGCUUUUGUGGGGUGCUCGAGUGGCGAACGGGUGAGUAACACGUGAGUAACCUGCCCUUGACUUUGGGAUAACUUCAGGAAACUGGGGCUAAUACCGGAUAGGAGCUCCUGCUGCAUGGUGGGGGUUGGAAAGUUUCGGCGGUUGGGGCUGGACUCGCGGCUUAUCAGCUUGUUGGUGGGGUAGUGGCUUACCAAGGCUUUGACGGGUAGCCGACCUGAGAGGGUGACCGGCCACAUUGGGACUGAGAUACGGCCCAGACUCCUACGGGAGGCAGCAGUGGGGAAUAUUGCACAAUGGGCGGAAGCCUGAUGCAGCAACGCCGCGUGCGGGAUGACGGCCUUCGGGUUGUAAACCGCUUUCGCCUGUGACGAAGCGUGAGUGACGGUAAUGGGUAAAGAAGCACCGGCUAACUACGUG
This 468-nucleotide ribosomal RNA is filed under the name uncultured bacterium. RNAcentral's name for it is "partial 16S ribosomal RNA". It matches the Rfam family "Bacterial small subunit ribosomal RNA", at positions 28 to 507 of the family's 1533-position model. The record is from RNAcentral.